AUUGAACGCUGGCGGCAUGCUUUACACAUGCAAGUCGAACGGCAGCGCGGGCUUCGGCCUGGCGGCGAGUGGCAAAUGGGUGAGUAAUGCAUCGGAACGUGCCCAGUAGUGGGGGAUAGCCCGGCGAAAGCCGGAUUAAUACCGCAUACGACCUGAGGGUGAAAGCGGGGGACCGAAAGGCCUCGCGCUAUUGGAGCGGCCGAUGUCGGAUUAGCUAGUUGGUGGGGUAAAGGCUUACCAAGGCGACGAUCCGUAGCUGGUCUGAGAGGACGACCAGCCACACUGGGACUGAGACACGGCCCAGACUCCUACGGGAGGCAGCAGUGGGGAAUUUUGGACAAUGGGGGCAACCCUGAUCCAGCCAUGCCGCGUGCGGGAAGAAGGCCUUCGGGUUGUAAACCGCUUUUGUUCGGGAAGAAAUCCUCUGGGCUAAUACCCCGGGGGGAUGACGGUACCGGAAGAAUAAGCACCGGCUAACUACGUG
This 484-nucleotide ribosomal RNA is filed under the name uncultured bacterium. RNAcentral describes it as "partial 16S ribosomal RNA". It matches the Rfam family "Bacterial small subunit ribosomal RNA", at positions 29 to 507 of the family's 1533-position model. The record is from RNAcentral.